UUGGGAUAUAUUCCUCUGUCUUCUUAUUUUGUCCAAAAUUCUGUGUCUAUUUCUGUGUGUUAGGAAAGUCAGCUACAUCUCCUGCACUUGAAAGUAGUGGCAUUAUGAAGAAGAGGUCCUGUAGUGCCCUGCAGUGCAGUGUGGAACUGGUGGAACCUGGUGCUUCAGGAGUGUCUCUUAUGCUUCCUCUGAGAUGGCUCCAGGGAAAGGAAGAGGGAUAGAAGCCCAGGCUCCCUACGUACCUACUUGGCCUUCUCUGACACACCCCACUGAGAGUGAGUACUGAGUGUCUUAUUAAUGCCUCACAGUUGUGGAAGUCUAGACUCCCCAUUUUGCUUUUGCUGGCAUGAGUGGGAGUGAAGCCAUAAUGUUUUCUGUGGUGUUUGGCUGGAGUAGAGUUGUUAUUGUCUGAAAGUUUUCUGGCUUGCCA
RNAcentral lists this long non-coding RNA (430 nucleotides) under Mustela putorius furo (domestic ferret). Its description in RNAcentral is "lncRNA (ENSMPUG00000027786.1)". The record is from RNAcentral. Lineage: Eukaryota; Metazoa; Chordata; Mammalia; Carnivora; Mustelidae.